GGGGGGGGGGGGGGGGGGGGGGGGGGCGGGGGGGGGGGGGGGGCGGGCGGGGGGCUUGGGGCGGUGGUGGGGGCGGCGGAGGGGUGGGGAACACGUGGAUGACCUGCCUAUUAGCCUGGGGUACCUUCGGGUAACCGGCGCUACUACCGGAUAAUCUAUUGAACGGCAGGGUUCAGUCGUGCAAGACGGUUUUGCGGUCACUUAUAGAUGGCUCCGCGCCGCAUUCGCUUGUUGGUAAGGUCCCGGCUUACCAAGGCAACGUUGCGUAGCUGACCUGUGAGGGUGAUCGGCCACGCUGGAGCUAGGACACGUUCCAGGCUCCUACGGGAGGCAGAAGUAGGGAAUCUUCCGCAAUGGGCGAAAGCCUGGCGAAGCAACGCCGCGUGAGUGAUGAGGGUCUUCGGAUCGUAAAACUCUGUUAUUAGGGAAGAACAAAUGUGUAAGUAACGAUGCACGUCUGGACGGUACCUAAGCAGAAAGCCACGACUAACUACGU
This 496-nucleotide ribosomal RNA is filed under the name uncultured bacterium. RNAcentral describes it as "partial 16S ribosomal RNA". It matches the Rfam family "Bacterial small subunit ribosomal RNA", at positions 35 to 506 of the family's 1533-position model. The record is from RNAcentral.